AACCCCUCGCUAUCUGUUGCCAGCAAGUAAUGUUGGGGACGUCAGAUGGAACUGCCGGUGGACAAACCGGAGGAAGGUGGGGACGACGUCAAGUCAUCAUGGCCCUUAUGUCCUGGGCUACACACGUGCUACAAUGGCCGGUACAGAGCGCAGCGAAGCCGCGAGGCAAAGCGAAUCGCAAAAAGCCGGUCUCAGUACGGAUUGGAGUCUGAAACUCGACUCCAUGAAGUUGGAAUCGCUAGUAAUCGCGCAUCAGCAUGGCGCGGUGAAUACGUUCCCGGGCCUU
Molecule: ribosomal RNA, 286 nt
Filed under: uncultured Spirochaeta sp.
Lineage: Bacteria; Pseudomonadati; Spirochaetota; Spirochaetia; Spirochaetales; Spirochaetaceae
Description: partial 16S ribosomal RNA
Rfam family: Bacterial small subunit ribosomal RNA
Source: RNAcentral